AAUGAACGCUGGCGGCAUGCCUAACACAUGCAAGUCGAACGAAGGCUUCGGCCUUAGUGGCGCACGGGUGCGUAACGCGUGGGAAUCUGCCCUCAGGUUCGGAAUAACAGCGAGAAAUUGCUGCUAAUACCGGAUGAUAUCGCGAGAUCAAAGAUUUAUCGCCUGAGGAUGAGCCCGCGUAGGAUUAGCUAGUUGGUGUGGUAAAGGCGCACCAAGGCGACGAUCCUUAGCUGGUCUGAGAGGAUGAUCAGCCACACUGGGACUGAGACACGGCCCAGACUCCGACGGAGGGCAGCAGUGGGGAAUAUUGGACAAUGGGGGAAAGCCUGAUCCAGCAAUGCCGCGAGAGUGAUGAAGGCCUUAGGGUUGUAAAGCUCUUUUACCCGGGAUGAUAAUGACAGUACCGGGAGAAUAAGCUCCGGCUAACUCCGUGCCAGCCGCCGCCGUAA
RNAcentral lists this ribosomal RNA (449 nucleotides) under uncultured bacterium. RNAcentral's name for it is "partial 16S ribosomal RNA". It matches the Rfam family "Bacterial small subunit ribosomal RNA", at positions 29 to 523 of the family's 1533-position model. The record is from RNAcentral.